GAUGAACGCUGGCGGCGUGCUUAACACAUGCAAGUCGAACGGUGAAGGCGGAGCUUGCUCUGCUGGAUCAGUGGCGAACGGGUGAGUAACACGUGAGCAAUCUGCCCCUGACUCUGGGAUAAGCGCUGGAAACGGCGUCUAAUACUGGAUACGAGCUGCGAAGGCAUCUUCAGCAGCUGGAAAGAAUUUCGGUCAGGGAUGAGCUCGCGGCCUAUCAGCUUGUUGGUGAGGUAAUGGCUCACCAAGGCGUCGACGGGUAGCCGGCCUGAGAGGGUGACCGGCCACACUGGGACUGAGACACGGCCCAGACUCCUACGGGAGGCAGCAGUGGGGAAUAUUGCACAAUGGGCGAAAGCCUGAUGCAGUAACGCCGCGUGAGGGACGACGGCCUUCGGGUUGUAAACCUCUUUUAGCAGGGAAGAAGCGAAAGUGACGGUACCUGCAGAAAAAGCGCCGGCUAACUACGUG
This 468-nucleotide ribosomal RNA is filed under the name uncultured bacterium. Its description in RNAcentral is "partial 16S ribosomal RNA". It matches the Rfam family "Bacterial small subunit ribosomal RNA", at positions 28 to 507 of the family's 1533-position model. The record is from RNAcentral.